This 257-nucleotide ribosomal RNA is filed under the name uncultured bacterium. Its description in RNAcentral is "partial 16S ribosomal RNA". It matches the Rfam family "Bacterial small subunit ribosomal RNA", at positions 524 to 776 of the family's 1533-position model. The record is from RNAcentral.
UACGAGGGGGGCAAAUGUUGUUCGGAAUCACUGGGCGUAAAGGGAGCGUAGGCGGGUUCUUAAGUUAGGUGUUUAAUCCCGGGGCCCAACCCCGGGACCGGCACUUAAAACUGGGAAUCUUGAAUAGUGGAGAGGUCAGUGGGAAUUGGGGUGUAGCGGUGGAAUGCGUAGAGAUCCCCAAGAACACCAGUUGCGAAGGCGGAGCUGACUGGACACAUAUUGACGCUGAGGCUCGGAAAGCAUGGGGAGCAAACAGG